RNAcentral lists this ribosomal RNA (557 nucleotides) under Salmonella enterica. Its description in RNAcentral is "partial 23S ribosomal RNA". It matches the Rfam family "Bacterial large subunit ribosomal RNA", at positions 2160 to 2716 of the family's 2925-position model. Lineage: Bacteria; Pseudomonadati; Pseudomonadota; Gammaproteobacteria; Enterobacterales; Enterobacteriaceae. RNAcentral also lists the same sequence under 1 other name. The record is from RNAcentral.
AAGUGUGGACGCCAGUCUGCAUGGAGCCAUCCUUGAAAUACCACCCUUUAAUGGCUGGUGUUCUAACGUGGGCCCGUGAACCGGGUUGCGGACAGUGUCUGGUGGGUAGUUUGACUGGGGCGGUCUCCUCCUAAAGAGUAACGGAGGAGCACGAAGGUUGGCUAAUCCUGGUCGGACAUCAGGAGGUUAGUGCAAUGGCAUAAGCCAGCUUGACUGCGAGCGUGACGGCGCGAGCAGGUGCGAAAGCAGGUCAUAGUGAUCCGGUGGUUCUGAAUGGAAGGGCCAUCGCUCAACGGAUAAAAGGUACUCCGGGGAUAACAGGCUGAUACCGCCCAAGAGUUCAUAUCGACGGCGGUGUUUGGCACCUCGAUGUCGGCUCAUCACAUCCUGGGGCUGAAGUAGGUCCCAAGGGUAUGGCUGUUCGCCAUUUAAAGUGGUACGCGAGCUGGGUUUAGAACGUCGUGAGACAGUUCGGUCCCUAUCUGCCGUGGGCGCUGGAAGAUUGAGGGGGGCUGCUCCUAGUACGAGAGGACCGGAGUGGACGCAUCACUGGUGUU